CUGGCGGCGUGCCUAACACAUGCAAGUCGAGCGGGGACACGGGGCUUCGGUCCCGUGUUCAGCGGCGGACGGGUGAGUAACGCGUGAGCAAUCUGUCCCAUUCACCGGGAUAACAACUGGAAACAGUUGCUAAUACCGGGCGAGACCACAGUGCCGCAUGGCACAGGGGUAGAAGGGAUACCGGAGUGGGGUGAGCUCGCGUCCCAUUAGGUAGUUGGUGAGGUAAGGGCCCCACCAAGCCGACGAUGGGUAGCCGACCUGAGAGGGUGAUCGGCCACACUGGAACUGAGACACGGUCCAGACUCCUACGGGAGGCAGCAGUGGGGAAUAUUGGGCAAUGGGCGCAAAGCCUGACCCAGCAACGCCGCGUGAGGGAAGAAGGUUUUCGGAUUGUAAACCUCUGUCGCAGAAGACGAAGGAAGUGACGGUAUUCUGUGAGGAAGCCCCGGCUAACUACGUGCCAGCCGCCGC
RNAcentral lists this ribosomal RNA (471 nucleotides) under uncultured bacterium. RNAcentral describes it as "bacterial SSU rRNA". It matches the Rfam family "Bacterial small subunit ribosomal RNA", at positions 36 to 518 of the family's 1533-position model. The record is from RNAcentral.